UGUGGAGGCGUGUGGAAAGGCAAGCCUAUAGACCAGACUGACCGGUGCUGCUUCCAACAUGGCUGCUGCUACGCUCGGGCCGAAAAAUUUGGCUGCAAGACCGACACGGACUACGACUGGUCAUGUAGAGACGGGACGGCUUAUUGUGGAAUCACUGAUGACAAGUGUCAGAAGUUGAUCUGCCACUGUGACCAAGAAUUUGCUAACUGCCUGAAAAAUGCACCCUACAAUUGGACCCCAGACUUGCAGAUCUCCCAGUGCUCUGGAAGCAAACCAUCAUGUCUCUAUAAAGGAAAAUGAUCUUGGUAGUCAAUGAAGACCAAUAGUAGCCACAUCCUUACAGCAAUAGUUUAUUCCUUUAAUCAAUGUGUGGGACACUGCAUGUCGUGUUGUUUUAAAAUCACCAUCCUUUAUUUUGAUUUGUGUGGGAAUAUAACAGGUACUGUAUUUGCAUUAUAAAUAUGUUAUGCUUUUUCAUUCCUCAAGCGGUGAUCAAUAAAUAAAAG
Molecule: non-coding RNA, 506 nt
Organism: Nerophis lumbriciformis (worm pipefish)
Lineage: Eukaryota; Metazoa; Chordata; Actinopteri; Syngnathiformes; Syngnathidae
Source: RefSeq, a predicted model, not a curated record